RNAcentral lists this ribosomal RNA (167 nucleotides) under uncultured bacterium. Its description in RNAcentral is "partial 16S ribosomal RNA". It matches the Rfam family "Bacterial small subunit ribosomal RNA", at positions 340 to 524 of the family's 1533-position model. The record is from RNAcentral.
UACGGGAGGCAGCAGUGGGGAAUAUUGCACAAUGGGGGAAACCCUGAUGCAGCGACGCCGCGUGAGUGAAGAAGUACUUCGGUACGUAAGGCUCUAUCAGCAGGGACGAAGAUGACGGUACCUGACUAAGAAGCCCUGGCUAACUACGUGCCAGCAGCCGCGGUAAU